UGCUGUUUUCAUAUAAUAACAGUAAGUUACUGUAUUUUGCGAUGCAUUGUGGGAUAUGUUGAUCAGCAACAGUAUGACACUGUUGUUUAACAGCAUAAUACCAUAUUUUCCAUUGUACAUGUGGAGGGGAAAGAAAGACAUUUUGGUUUAUCUGCACAAGGUCAUUUUGCAGCUCUGCCUUUUAUUGCUUUAUUUCUAAAGUACUUAUUACUUUUAAAAAUUAAUGUUUCAACAUCCAAUCAAGCUUUUGGGAUUUAAAUUGGAUUCGUGACCGUGUUUUAAUCAGCAAGUUACCACAGGAGAAGUUAACACACAACUGGAAAGAAACUUUUUUUUCUCUAACCCGCACAUCUUAAACUUUAUCUGAUAUGACGUUUUGUGAAAUGAUCUUCUUUUGUGGUUACAAUUUUAGCGUGAGGUUCAAACCGGCUAUCUGCUGCAGUUAUUUGCAACCACACUUUUGGUUUUAACUUACAGCAUACACUUCUAAAUAUUAACAUUAUAAAGAGCCACCAAAGCAUAAUUUGAUGAAAGGAUAGCAUGUAUUAAUCAUGGAACAGUAACCAAGUAAGAUAUGAUAGCAUUGUUAGCUUGUUAGCAUAUACCUCGAUUGCAUUUUAUGUGUUAUUUAUUACCAUCACACAAUUUCGGUAACUGAAACAUGCUCCGAACUUCAUCUAAGCAAAAGAUACAUGUGUAUGAACAAAAUUCAUAAUUCUUGCACGAUUACUGUGAACGUACUCAAAGCGCUGCUAGCGAUUGCAAAAAUAGCAGCAGAUGGACCGAAAGAAUCUGUCGGUUUUUAUUUUAUUUUUAUACUUUAUUUUAAUAUUUUGUGUGUGGGAUGUCUGUAAUUAGUUAACUAGAGAAGCUAUCUAUUCUUUACAUUAUGUUUUCCUUUUCCUUGUAGUUCAAAGGCUGACUUUGUAGAGAAGCAAAUGACUCACUCUUUAAGAAAAUGUAAGUUUGCCUAUUGUUUGUUCAAUAAAUCAUUCACUAAAAAUCUCAUUAUUUACUUAACCUUAUGCUGUCUUAAACUCAUAGGACUGUCUCUUGGAGGACAAAUGAAGAUAUUGUCCUGGAGAACUGAUGUCUGUUUUGCCCAUAUGGAAGGCCAGUGGGAACCAAACCUUCGAGCUCCAAAAGGAACAUAAAGAUGUCUGCCACUCCUUCUGACCUUGAGAAAAUGGGUAACCUGCCUGUGACUCCUAGCUUGAUCCUUCUUGAUACUUUAUUGGAAUAAGUCCAGAAAAGAGGAUCAAAGCUGCAUGGAGAAAAGAGGUGUCUAGAAUAACUGGAAAAACUGCAGAAGAAGACCCAAGAUGAUGAAGAAGAACAUCAGUCCAGAAGUAUCUCAUCCUUAACUCAACCUUAUGCUGUCUCAAACCAGUAGGACUUUCUCUUAGAGGACAAAUUAAGAUAUUGUCAUAGAGAAAUGUUUGCCCAUACAGUGGAAGACAAAUGGGAACCAAACAUUUGAGCUCCAAAAGGAACAUAAAGGUACGAUUAAUUAAAGACACUAGUCAUUUCAUCUGAUAUCUUUUAUAAACCAUUUGUUUACAGUUUUUCUCGAUUGCUAAAACACUAUAACCAAUCUUUUGAACUAAAAUUUCAAAACCAUAAUGCCAUUUUUCAAAAAGCACACCCAUUUCCCUGAACUAUAAACAACUAUUCCCCUGCUUUAACACAUGAGUUAGAUUUGGUGAACUGUUACUGCAAAACUCACAAAUCCCUACAUUUCUCAGUGCUUACACCAUGUGGUCAUUUAGAAAGCACUAGCAUUCAAUAUUGUUCACUCAAGUCUGCAAAGUUUGAGCUCAAUUAGCACACGAU
Long non-coding RNA from Labeo rohita (rohu), 1833 nucleotides. RefSeq lists it as uncharacterized. The record is from RefSeq and is a predicted model, not a curated record. Lineage: Eukaryota; Metazoa; Chordata; Actinopteri; Cypriniformes; Cyprinidae. The transcript is spliced from 3 exons.